CAGCUGCGGAGUGAACUGGGAAGAUUUGCAAUUAAAAAAAAAAAUUAUGUGUGAGGUUCCCGAUAUAGUAUUUCAAAGAGCACACCCGCCAAAUCCAACAUCCCCUAGGAGGCUGACUUGAAAAAAAAAAAAAAAAAAAAAAAAACCGCGCCGGGCUCCCCUCGCCCCCGCAAGCUCGGGGCGGAGGCGGGGAGGCAGGUGGUCCAGGUGCGCCCCUGCCCCGGGAGCGAGGCAUCCGGCGGGAGGGUGGCAGCGACCACACAGAGGAAGGGGCGGCAGGUGCGCGGCGCUGGAAGAACCGGCGGCUGGGAGAGCAUCUCUGCCUCGCCCAUCAUGCCCCCUCCUCACCUCCGCCCUGGCGUUGGGACCGGAGGAGGAGGGAGGAAUAGAACCAGGGAGUCCGAAGUACACCUUUGACAACUGUCGAGCUAGCCGGGUCAAAGGACUGCAGCCAAAGGACUCAGCAGCUGGAGUACCCCUGUGAAGCACUCCACAUGAGGGUGGAUGGAGGAUUUUGUUUGUUUCCUUGACAAAGGAUCAGCAGAUCUGUUUUCACUACCUCAAGGUACACAGCCCCAAACACUGCCCAUCCCCAGCUGCCCAUGCACAUCCUGCCUGUUGGAGAAACCAGGACAGAGAUGAGCAUUUCUGUCCCAAUUCCAGACUCCCCCGAGAGAUUCUGAUCGGCCCAGCUUAGGUCAGGGGAUAGUCUUCACUCAAGAGUUCCUGAGAUAACAGAGACUGGAGUAACAGGCAUUGCAGAACUGAUUUUAUAAAUGAAGAACGUGUACCACACAUAUUGCUAGUUAAAAGCAUGUAUACUGUUGAGUUCUACCUCCUCAGAAGUCUAGAAGGUUUCCUUCCUUUGAGGGUGAAGAAGCAGUAACAGGCGUCCUCCAUCAGACCCCUCUCUGUGGGCACCUAGAACACUUCCCGUUGACGUCUGCUUCAAGAGGAGGUCACUAAAAGUGCCCCACAUGACGCAGCAGACACUCCGCUGGUCCCAGUGCCCUCUCCAAGACCUUCCAGAUGGUGAAGUGUUAAGAGUCUAAAAUGGAGUAAAUGAUCUGCAGAAAUUCGGUGGUGUCAGAGGAGCCAGUCCAAAGUCACUCGGCUCUAAAACGCAGUGAUUCUGAUUUUAAUGAUGCCCAGGAACAUAACGCGGCACGAGAGACCCAGAGGCGAGCGUGCAGCUGCCAGGAGAGCAGCUGGCAGGGCUGCGGGGGGCUGCUGGCCGGCCGGGCCCCAGUGGGAGGAGGCGCGGGGGAGGUGCGGGAGGAGGAAGAGCGCUGUGUGAGGGCGGAGCCGCGGUGGCCUGUGCGCUGCAGUCUGUUGCGCUCGACUUAUUAGCUUGGCACGCGGAUAGAAAAAUGUACGUUUGAAUCUAUUUCUGGUUUUCAAAUGUGUGAAGAAAACACAUAACUUUAUUAUUUUAUUUUUGUAAAGUUAAAGACAGGGACAGAUGCCCCUAAAGCGUAUGCAUUCUGUAAGAAAUUCCUAUUUGGUGGCGCAUCUUUGGAAGCAAAAAUCAAGGACAAAUAGGUCAUCUCUAAGUUUUCUGCAGGAAUAUUGGCAAUAAAAAGAAUAGAGUCAACACUGGUAACUAAUGGAGAUGAGGGAAAUACAAUCUGGGAAGAUGUUAAGGUUCUUUUUUUUUAAAGAACUUUUAAAGGAAAAACAAUGAAGUAAGUGUUGAUGUAAUAUGAAUAUGUUAUUACUUGUUAAGUGCCAAAAAUACUGCAGAUAUAAAUAAUCUUUUAACAUGUAGUCAAGAAACAUUUGAACACUUAUAGAAAUUCCCUCACCAGAGGUGUUUGGAAAUCUUAAAAUCUUAAUAUACUUUUGUGAAUGGUCAGAGUAAAUCAGAAAUCAAAGAAAUCUGGAAAAAUAAAAACACAUUAUCCAUGCAACAAAAGCAUUGCUAGAAGGGGUUGUUAUCAUAAAUAGAACUCCAACUGGAGUGCCAUAUAGUCAAAGAAAAGUCUUAUAAAGCAAAAAAAUGCAAGAUUUAUUUACUCAAAAAGUGUUGUUGAGCACGUGCUAUGUGCCAGGCACGGUGCUAAGCAUGGGACGACACGGGAAAAGAAAACGGAUGUUGUCCCUGCAUGCAUGUCCCUCCCCAGGCUUUUGGCUGUGCAGAGAAAGUACCAUAACUGCCAAAUAAGUAAAUAGUUGGAUGGGGCCUAAGAGAUCAGUGUGACAUAAAACAAGUGUAGAUGGUAAUCCAUUUCAAAAUACUCUUUACAGACUUUUCAGUAUUCCUAUGAUUUUCUGGAAAUGUGACAGGAAAUCAAAUAAUUUUUUUUUUAAGAGCAGAGGUCCAAUUUUCAAUAUGUAAUCCAGUUCCUUUCAGGAAGUGUUAAUCAUGUGAUUCCUAUUAGAAUUAAAAACAGUCAUCAUCCUGUAAUACUGACCAUCUGUUUCAGAUAUGGCAGGCACACUUGGGAAACCCAGAAUAAUGGGAACUCAAAACUAUUAUUCAUUCGAGAGCUUAUCAGUCCAAGAAGAUGCCACCUUGGUCAGAUGUGGAUGAGGCAUGACUGGACCGACCCUAUGGGCUCUGCACCCACCUGUGCUAUAAACUGUUGAUGUGAUAACUGUGUGUCCCUGGGUUGUCUGACCUGCAGCUGUACUACACUUUUAGUACAAUGCCUGCCACCCACAAGAGUGUUGUCACCAUUGAAGUGAAUGCUAUAAAGCAUUGUGAGCAAUCCAAAAGAAGGGUGCUGCUUAACUACCCAAAAUCAUUAUACACCCACAGGUAAAGCUCUCUCUCUCUCUCUUUUGACACUCUUAAUAUGGUAAUAUAAAAGGGCAUUCCUCAGGGUGCAUUUAAAUGUCUGUGUGUGUUUCAUUCCAUUUGUUAAUCAUUUUAACUUUUAAAUUAAUUAGUAUUUUCAGGAUUUUAUCCUUGCACUAAAGGAAACCCAUUAAUUUAAUGAUUCUAGGUCACUACUAUGGACUGAAUAUUUGUGUCCCCCAGAAAUUCAUAUGUUGAAAUCCUAACCCUCAUUGUGCUGCAUUGGGAGGUGUGGCUUUGGGGAGGUGAUUAGGUCAUGAGGACAGAGCCCUCAUGAAUAAGAUUAGUGCCCUUAUAAAAGAGACCCAGAGCGCUCUCUUACCCCUUUCUGCCAUGUAAGGACUUAGUCAGAAGACCACAGUUUAUAAACUGGUAAGUGGGUCCCUACCAGACAUUGAAUCUGCAUUUUAAUCUCAGACUUCCCAGCCUCCAGAAUGGUGAGAAGUAAAUGUAGUUUAAGCCACCCAGUCUAUAGUAUUUUUGUUAUAGCUGCCUGAAUGGAGUAAGACAGUCACCAUGUUUGAAAAAGAGACAUAUUUGGGUCUCUAGAAGCUGCCUGUCUGUUAAUUUAUGACUAAAAUUAAUUUGUUCAUGAUUUCCUCUCUAAAUCUAGAUUAUUUGGCCAUGUGUCAGAAACACAUGUUUGGGAAUUUAUUUGGCUAGAUGACUUGGAUUGAAGCCUCAAAAUUUAAAAAGAAAAGACAAAAAGCACAACUAAACAGAAGCUAAUCAAUGUAAAUACCUGACAGUGUUGAAGCAGCCAGGGACGAUGGUGGCCUAAAGCGUCAUCGAUAGCUGUCUAGCUAUCUUUUUCUGUAUAGCUCGCUUUUUCUUUUCCUUUCUUUCUUUUAUAAAAUAACAGCUUUAUUGAGAUAUAAUUCGCAUAUCAAAAAUGCAUCCUUUCAACGUGUGCAAUUCAGCGUUCUUAGUACAUUCACAAAGUUGUGCAACCAUUGACACCAGUUCCAGAUUAUUUUCAUUAUCCCAAAAAGAAGCCCUAUGCUUAUUUGCAGUUACCCCCAUUCCCCUUUUCUGGAGCCCCUGGAAACCAUUAAUCUAUUUUCUGUCUCUACAGACUUGCCUAUUCUGUACAGUUUAUAUAAAUGGAAUCAUAUAUUAUGUGGAUUCUUUCAUUCAGUGUAAUUUUUCAAGGUCCAUCCAUCUUUAUUCAUUUUUAUGGCCAAAUAUUCCAUUGUAUGGCUAUAACACAUUCUGUCUAUUCAUCAGCUGAUGGACAUUUGGGUUGUUUCCACAUUUUAGCUAGUAUUAAUCAUGUUCUAUGAACAUGAGUGUACAAGUUUUUGUGUAGACAUGUUUUCAGUGCUCUUGGGUGUAUAGCUAGCACUGGCAUUGCUAGGCCAUAUGGGAACUCAAUGGUUAACUUUUUGAGGAACUGCCAAGCUAUUUUCCAAAGUGACUGAAUCAUUUACAUUCUCACCAACGAUAAAUGAGGAUUCGGAUUUCCCCACAUCCUUGUCAACACUUUUUAUUGUCUAUCUUUUUGAUGAUAGAUGACUUAAUAUAUGUGAAGUGGUAUCUUGUGGUUUUGGUUUGCGUUCCCCUAAUAACUAAUACUGUUGAGAAUCUUUUCAUGUGAUUACUAACCAACCUUUCUUUGUCUCUCCUUCAUCCCUACUAUUUCCAGCCUCUGGUAACCAUGAAUCCAC
Long non-coding RNA from Chlorocebus sabaeus (green monkey), 4467 nucleotides. RefSeq lists it as uncharacterized. Lineage: Eukaryota; Metazoa; Chordata; Mammalia; Primates; Cercopithecidae. The record is from RefSeq and is a predicted model, not a curated record.